Molecule: ribosomal RNA, 753 nt
Filed under: Alteromonas sp. Fun-115
Lineage: Bacteria; Pseudomonadati; Pseudomonadota; Gammaproteobacteria; Alteromonadales; Alteromonadaceae
Description: bacterial SSU rRNA
Rfam family: Bacterial small subunit ribosomal RNA
Source: RNAcentral
GCAGGCCUAACACAUGCAAGUCGAACGGUAACAGGAUGUGCUUGCACAUCGCUGACGAGUGGCGGACGGGUGAGUAAUGCUUGGGAACUUGCCUUUGCGAGGGGGAUAACAGUUGGAAACGACUGCUAAUACCGCAUAAUGUCUUUGAGAAUUCGGUCUGAAAGACCAAACGGGGCUUAGAGCUCCGGCGCAGAGAGAGGCCCAAGUGAGAUUAGCUAGUUGGUAAGGGUAAAGGCUUACCAAGGCGACGAUCUCUAGACUGUUCUGAGAGGGAAGAUCAGACCACACUGGGACUGAGACACGGCCCAGACUCCUACGGGAGGCAGCAGUGGGGAAUAUUGCACAAUGGGGGAAACCCUGAUGCAGCCAUGCCGCGUGUGUGAAGAANGCCUUCGGGUUGUAAAGCACUUUCAGUUGUGAGGAAAAGUUGGUAGUUAAUACCUGCCAGCCGUGACGUUAACAACAGAAGAAGCACCGGCUAACUCCGUGCCAGCAGACCGCGGUAAUACGGAGGGUGCGAGCGUUAAUCGGAAUUACUGGGCGUAAAGCGCACGCAGGCGGUUUGUUAACCUAGAUGUGAAAGCCCCGGGCUCAACCUGGGAUGGUCAUUUAAAACUGGCAAACUAGAGUCUUGGAAAGGGGAGUGGAAUUCCAGGUGUAGCGGUGAAAUGCGAUAAAUAUCUGGAGGAACAUCAGUGGGGAAGGCGACUCCCUGGCCAAAGACUGACGCUCAUGUGCGAAAGUGUGGGUAGC